UUAUAAUUAGUUUAAUUAAAAUAUAUAGCUUCUAACUAUAUGACCCUUUUAUUCAGGAUUAUAUU
RNAcentral lists this transfer RNA (65 nucleotides) under Clavelina oblonga. RNAcentral describes it as "transfer RNA-Gly (AGR)". Lineage: Eukaryota; Metazoa; Chordata; Ascidiacea; Aplousobranchia; Clavelinidae. The record is from RNAcentral.